GUGUUAUCAAGAAAGGUGGAGGGAUUGGACCCGUUGAAGCCUUAGCAACCCUCGACUUCGAGAAGGUGCUACAUUCUACCCUUAUCCUGAACGAUUCUCGGGAAAGUAC
RNAcentral lists this non-coding RNA (109 nucleotides) under Flagellimonas ruestringensis. Its description in RNAcentral is "Muricauda ruestringensis SAM-I sequence". The stretch from base 1 to 97 matches the Rfam family "SAM riboswitch aptamer (S box leader)". From Rfam's summary of the family: The SAM riboswitch is found upstream of a number of genes which code for proteins involved in methionine or cysteine biosynthesis in Gram-positive bacteria. The record is from RNAcentral. RNAcentral also lists the same sequence under 1 other name. Lineage: Bacteria; Pseudomonadati; Bacteroidota; Flavobacteriia; Flavobacteriales; Flavobacteriaceae.